Long non-coding RNA from Junco hyemalis (dark-eyed junco), 1558 nucleotides. The record is from Ensembl. Lineage: Eukaryota; Metazoa; Chordata; Aves; Passeriformes; Passerellidae.
CAGUGUCCUCCCGGGGGCGCAGCGGGACCCCAACACUGCCACUGCCACCCGCUCCGCCCACAGCCUGCCUCAGUUUCCCCUCGGGAUGGGCCAGCACUGGGAUGGGCUGAUAAUGGGAUAAACUGGCACUGGGAUGGGCUGGCACUGGGAUGGACUGGUAUUGGGUAAACUGGCACUGGGAUAAACUGGUAUUGGGUAAACUGGUACUGGGAUGGGCUGAUAAUGGGAUAAACUGGGAGUGGGAUGGAUUGGUACUGGGAUAAACUGGCACUGGGAUGGAUUGGCACUGGGAUGCUCCAUUACUGGGAUGGAGUGGGACUGGGAUAGGCUGGCACUGGGAUGGAUUGGCACUGGGAUGGACUGGGAUGGAUUGGCACUGGGAUGGACUGGGAUGGAUUGGCACUGGGCUGUUCCAUCACUCGGAUCUCUGGCACCAAGAUGUUCCCACACCAGGGUGAUCCCAUACUGGGAUGUUCCAUACUGGGAUGGUCCCAUACUGGGAUGCUCCAUACUGGGAUGUCCCACACUGGGAUGUUCCAUACUGGGAUGAUCCCAUACUGGGAUGUUCCAUACUGGGAUGUUCCACACUGGGAUGGUCCCAUACUGGGAUGCUCCAUACUGGGAUGCUCCAUACUGGGAUGUUGUGACACUGGCACGCUCUGAGACCAGGAUGCUCCGAUACCAGAAUGUUCCAUCAUGGGGAUGCUCUGAUACUGGGAUGAUCCCACAGCAGAAGAUCCCACAGGAGUUGAUCCCAGAGCAGCAUGAACCCACAACAGGAGAUCCCACAGCAGAAGAUCCCACAAUGGGAUGAUCCCACAGCAGGAGAUCCCACAGUAGAUCCCACAGGAGAUCCCACAGCAGGAGAUCCCACAAUGAUCCCAUAGCAGGAGAUCCCACAGCAGGAAAAACCCACAGCAGGAGAUCCCACAGCAGGAGAUCCCACAGAAGAUCCCAUAGCAGGAGAUCCCACGGGAGAUCCCACAGGAGAUCCCACAGGAGAUCCCACAGCAGGAGAUCCCACAGCAGAGGAUCCCAGAGCAGGACAACCCCACAGCAGGAGAUCCCACAGGAGAUCCCACAGCAGGAGGUCCCACAGGAGAUCCCACAGGAGAUCCCACAGGAGAUCCCACAGGAGAUCCCACAGCAGGACAACCCCACAACAGGAGAUCCCACACCAGGACGCUCCAUCCCUGCGAUGGUCCCACACCAGGAUGCUCCAUUCCGGAACGUUCCACCCUGGGGAUGCCCCAUUACUGGGAUGCCCAGAGGGAUCCAGGACCAGAAUUUUCCAACACCAGAACGUUCCAUCAGAUCCUCCAACAUUGGAAUGAUCCGAUCCCAGGAUGGCCCAUGGGACCAGAAUGCGCUGACCCCAGGAUGGUCCUGCUCCUCUGGGAUGUCCCCACUUUUGGGAUGUCCCCACUUUUGGGAUGUCCCCACUUUUGGGAUGUCCCCACCAGGAGCCCGAUGGACACGGAGUGGCCAAUCCCAAGAAUUCCUGCAAACUCCAAACCAGCCAAACGCAGGGGACACCGGGAGCAGCCAGAGUGGGGAC